This 423-nucleotide ribosomal RNA is filed under the name uncultured Bacillota bacterium. RNAcentral's name for it is "bacterial SSU rRNA". It matches the Rfam family "Bacterial small subunit ribosomal RNA", at positions 419 to 860 of the family's 1533-position model. Lineage: Bacteria; Bacillati; Bacillota. The record is from RNAcentral.
CGGAUUGUAAACUCCUGUUGUUGGGGAAGAUAAUGACGGUACCAACAAGGAAGUGACGGCUAACUACGUGCCAGCAGCCGCGGUAAAACGUAGGUCACAAGCGUUGUCCGGAAUUACUGGGUGUAAAGGGAGCGCAGGCGGGAAGACAAGUUGGAAGUGAAAUCUAUGGGCUCAACCCAUAAACUGCUUUCAAAACUGUUUUUCUUGAGUAGUGCAGAGGUAGGCGGAAUUCCCGGUGUAGCGGUGGAAUGCGUAGAUAUCGGGAGGAACACCAGUGGCGAAGGCGGCCUACUGGGCACCAACUGACGCUGAGGCUUGAAAGUGUGGGUAGCAAACAGGAUUAGAUACCCUGGUAGUCCACACCGUAAACGAUGAUUACUAGGUGUUGGAGGAUUGACCCCUUCAGUGCCGCAGUUAACAAAA